AAUUUUGCAGUAAAACAAACAAAUGGAUCUGCUCAGGAAUUUCUCCCCAAACUUCAAUAGUGACAGAUAGCAUGGAAGUGUAAUUGAUGAACCAUCGUGCAGAUGUUUACAGAGCUGUUAAGAUUUACGUCUGAAGAUUGCUCAACCCUGAAGCUGCAGUGCUUUUGUGAGGAAGAAGCUGACAGGACAUGGGGGAAAACCUGCAGCUGAAUUUUGUGAAAGAUGUUCCUCGUGUUCUUCAUAUGGAUGACUGCAGCAGUGAUAGUCUCAUCAGUGCCACACAUCUCCCUCUGAUCCUUGUACUGGACUGACUGUAGGUCAGCAAGUCUGCUUUCCUGGAUGUAUUAUUGCAACACGCAAAUAGCCAGCCUGGCCUCAUAAACUGAGGAUGAACAGAAGGAAGUUUGCCACAAUGAAUCACUCAAUGCUCUGUUGUGGGGUCACACAGGCUGGGGAAGUUGUGCAAAGCUGAAGACUGUGGAGCAGCUGGAAUCAAGAAAAUGAGGAAAAGGGUUUUCUGUCACCUUGGGAAAGAUUAUUCGACCAGAAGGUCUCUUGGAUCCUAGGCUUCAACUCUGCACAGGGACAUCACAAUGAAGAGUCCAUGAGGGACAGUCAGGUGUUUCAGUAUCGCUCUUAUGGGAACCAUGUGAGUACCUACAAUAGUUACUUCCCUUUCGCCACAACAGACCCUGCUCUGAGGAAGGUGGUUUCAUAUCUGAACAGAUGAAUUGUAUUUUGUCACUGUGGGUUGGCCCCAAGGCCAGUGUUCAGUGGGCAACAGGAUACCAGGUUGUCACAAAGAACCAAAUGUGAAAUGCCGAGUCAUACUGCUAAAGUGGAGAAAGUUGCAGUGCUUCCAUCUUGUGACAUACGAUGUGUACUCAUUACUUGCCUUCAUCCUCCUCAGCAUAGCCUCAGGACACCAGAAUCUUGAGCCAUGACUAGGUUUCAGAGGUGCUGAAGUAAUGCAAGCACUAUUGCUACCAAUAACUGGCUUGAUUUUGUUUUAAUAGCAGUCUUCUCUGCAAAACCACAAACCCAAGGUAAUUGCACAAAUCAGGGGAAUAUGGAAUUGUUACAAUAAUUAGACCAGGACAGCAGCUUCAGCCCAGAAAAACAGCUUUGCAUACAACUGUCCUGGAGAAAGCUCAGUCUGUUUCACUAGGACCAAAUAUUAAUAUCAUAGCCAGCUCCAGAACUGGCUUUUAAAAACUUACGUUACUGACUACUGUUGUCUAAAGAGCUGCACUGCCAGUGCUUGAUAUUAUCUCCUUCUCUUCUCUUGCCCAACUGAGCUGAGACCAGCAGCUCCAAGCUAAUUGUGACUGCCCCCUAUAUCUCCCCUGGCCUGGGAAGUCAGAGGUUGAAAACCUCCUUCCAUGCUCUCGAGAGAAUGUCCCAUCUAAUGUGUGCUUGCGCACUGAUUUAUUUGGAUAAUCAUAGGUAAAGGAAAAUGUAUGCAUACCUGCCAGAUAAAAUAGUUUGGGAAUAGUAGUUACGUUUUUAUUAAUGGCACCUUUGAGUUCUUGAAAUUCUCUGUGACUAAUGGGUUUCUUAUGUCCCAAUAACAUUUGUUAGCUCUACCUGUAGAAGUUGAUUUUCCAGUUUUUCUCAUUCAACUCUUAGGGAUACUGACCUGACAGCUUUGCUCUGCCAAGUGACAGAAAUGCCUGAUUUUUGCACCUGCUGCUCCCUUGCCUGGUUAUAAACUAUGACUGCUAUCACACUGCUUUAAGCCAUAGCUGGUGACUCCUUACAGGGCUGAGGUUAGGCUUUUGAA
Molecule: non-coding RNA, 1783 nt
Organism: Anas platyrhynchos (mallard)
Lineage: Eukaryota; Metazoa; Chordata; Aves; Anseriformes; Anatidae
Source: RefSeq, a predicted model, not a curated record